Molecule: ribosomal RNA, 468 nt
Filed under: uncultured bacterium
Lineage: Bacteria
Description: partial 16S ribosomal RNA
Rfam family: Bacterial small subunit ribosomal RNA
Source: RNAcentral
GACGAACGCUGGCGGCGUGCUUAACACAUGCAAGUCGAACGGAAAGGCCCUGCUUUUGUGGGGUGCUCGAGUGGCGAACGGGUGAGUAACACGUGAGUAACCUGCCCUUGACUUUGGGAUAACUUCAGGAAACUGGGGCUAAUACCGGAUAGGAGCUCCUGCUGCAUGGUGGGGGUUGGAAAGUUUCGGCGGUUGGGGAUGGACUCGCGGCUUAUCAGCUUGUUGGUGGGGUAGUGGCUUACCAAGGCUUUGACGGGUAGCCGGCCUGAGAGGGUGACCGGCCACAUUGGGACUGAGAUACGGCCCAGACUCCUACGGGAGGCAGGAGUGGGGAAUAAUGCACAAUGGGCGGAAGCCUUAUGCAGCAACGCCGCGUGCGGGAUGACGGCCUUCGGGUUGUAAACCGCUUUCGCCUGUGACGAAGCGUGAGUGACGGUAAUGGGUAAAGAAGCACCGGCUAACUACGUG